This 253-nucleotide ribosomal RNA is filed under the name uncultured bacterium. Its description in RNAcentral is "partial 16S ribosomal RNA". It matches the Rfam family "Bacterial small subunit ribosomal RNA", at positions 524 to 776 of the family's 1533-position model. The record is from RNAcentral.
UACGUAGGUGGCAAGCGUUAUCCGGAAUUAUUGGGCGUAAAGCGCGCGUAGGCGGUUGAUUAAGUCUGAUGUGAAAGCCCACGGCUUAACCGGGGAGGGGCAUUGGAAACUGGAAGACUUGAGUGCAGAAGAGGAAAGUGGAAUUCCAUGUGUAGCGGUGAAAUGCGUAGAGAUAUGGAGGAACACCAGUGGCGAAGGCGACUUUCUGGUCUGUAACUGACGCUGAUGUGCGAAAGCGUGGGGAGCAAACAGG